This 65-nucleotide non-coding RNA is filed under the name Actinomadura sp. The record is from RNAcentral. Lineage: Bacteria; Bacillati; Actinomycetota; Actinomycetes; Streptosporangiales; Thermomonosporaceae.
GCUGAGGGCGAUCUCCGCCUUCCCGGACGAGGUGCGCCGUACCCGGCACGACAAGACGACGCUGA